UACGUAGGGGGCGAGCGUUGUCCGGAUUUAUUGGGCGUAAAGAGCUCGUAGGCGGUUCGGUAAGUCGGAUGUGAAAUCUCCACGCUCAACGUGGAGGGGCCAUUCGAUACUGCCGUGACUCGAGUCCGGUAGGGGAGUGUGGAAUUCCCGGUGUAGCGGUGAAAUGCGCAGAGAUCGGGAGGAACACCCGUAGCGAAGGCGGCACUCUGGGCCGGUACUGACGCUGAGGAGCGAAAGCGUGGGGAGCAAACGGG
RNAcentral lists this ribosomal RNA (254 nucleotides) under uncultured bacterium. Its description in RNAcentral is "partial 16S ribosomal RNA". It matches the Rfam family "Bacterial small subunit ribosomal RNA", at positions 524 to 776 of the family's 1533-position model. The record is from RNAcentral.